AAAGCGCAGAGAAGGCGGGCCCCGUCUGAGGUCUGGCAGUCAGAGACAGCCGGGCGCCCACGGCCCGAGCGCCCACGGCAGCACCAUGCCCGCACUCCUGGAGCGCCCCAAGCUUUCCAACGCCAUGGCCAGGGCGCUGCACCGGCACAUUAUGAUGGAGCGGGAGCGCAAGCGGCAGGAGGAAGAAGAGGUGGAUAAGAUGAUGGAACAGAAGAUGAAGGAAGAACAGGAGAGAAGAAAGAAAAAGGAGAUGGAAGAGAGAAUGUCACUAGAGGAGACCAAGGAACAAAUUCUGAAGUUGGAGGAGAAGCUUUUGGCCCUACAGGAAGAGAAGCACCAGCUUUUCCUGCAGCUCAAGAAAGUUUUACAUGAGGAAGAAAAACGGAGGCGAAAGGAACAGAGGUGGGAUCAGAGUGCUAAAAACUGAAAUGGGGGCCAAGUGGAACUGGGAUCAGGUAGUAAAAGAACCAGUGUUUAAUGGCAAAAGAGAAGGCAUCUGUCCUUGACUUUGACCUGUCUUCCUUUCACUCCAGUGACCUGACCACCCUGA
This 550-nucleotide small RNA is filed under the name Pan troglodytes (chimpanzee). RNAcentral describes it as "retained intron". The record is from RNAcentral. Lineage: Eukaryota; Metazoa; Chordata; Mammalia; Primates; Hominidae.